Molecule: long non-coding RNA, 373 nt
Filed under: Vigna radiata
Lineage: Eukaryota; Viridiplantae; Streptophyta; Magnoliopsida; Fabales; Fabaceae
Description: long non-coding RNA (VRAD_LNC007908)
Source: RNAcentral
AAUUUGUUUUAAAAUUGAGCCAAAGCCCAAAUCUCUUUUUUAGGGUUUCAUCAUCCUGCGUAGGCAUCUUUGAAGCUUCCCCGUAGAAGCCGCUCCACCAACAAAUCCAUUCCCACCACUGUCAACAACGUAUCCUUUCCCACCACUGUCAACGGUAACGACAAAUAAAACAUGUUUUUUCAUCUCCUGCUACAAUGCUCCUACUUCCUUGAAUGCUUCUUUCAUUGUUGAAAAAAAAAUGAAACUUUUAGGCAGAGACAAACGUUUAAUGCUCCUAUUUCGUGUCUUACUAUUCUAAAUCAGGUAUUAUCCUCACAGAUCGCAUCUCCUCUACCACUUCUUAUACUUUCAACGAUUAAAACGUCUUUUUCCA